CCGCAGCUAACGCAUUAAGUACUCCGCCUGGGAAGUACGCUCGAAAGAGUGAAACUCAAAGGAAUGGACGGAGACCCGCACAAGUAGCGGAGCAUGUGUGUUGAUUAGAAGCAACGCGAAGAACCUUACCUAAGCUUGACAUCCCAAUGACCUCUCCGUAAGCGGAGAGUUCCGUUCGGGGACAUUGGUGACAGGUGGUGCAGGGUUGUCGUCAGCUCGUGUCGUGAGAUGUUGGGUUAAGUCCCGCAACGAGCGCAACCCUUGUCUUUAGUUGCCAUCAUUAAGUUGGGCACUCUAGAGAGACUGCCAGGGAUAACCUGGAGGAAGGUGGGGAUGACGUCAAAUCAUCAUGCC
This 354-nucleotide ribosomal RNA is filed under the name Clostridioides difficile. RNAcentral's name for it is "bacterial SSU rRNA". It matches the Rfam family "Bacterial small subunit ribosomal RNA", at positions 846 to 1199 of the family's 1533-position model. Lineage: Bacteria; Bacillati; Bacillota; Clostridia; Peptostreptococcales; Peptostreptococcaceae. The record is from RNAcentral.